This is a long non-coding RNA of Cucumis melo (muskmelon), 476 nucleotides long. RefSeq lists it as uncharacterized. Lineage: Eukaryota; Viridiplantae; Streptophyta; Magnoliopsida; Cucurbitales; Cucurbitaceae. The transcript has 2 exons. The record is from RefSeq and is a predicted model, not a curated record.
UAGACUCGGAACUCCGGUGACUGCCGGAGAUGGUCAGAGCUAAGUGAUUGGACGGCUUGGAUUAUUUCUUUGAUGAUCGAUAAGGUGUUUGGGCCAGAGGAGCAUCCCAAAUCGGCGAUUCCGAAGCUCGUCGGAGCACCGGUUGAAAGACAUUAGGAAACAAAAUAGAAAGGAGAUAGUACGGACAGAGAAGAAAAGGAGAAAAAAAAAAAAAGGGCCAACAAAUUAGAAAGAGGACCUGAAGAUGGGAAUUGUUGGCAUAACUAUUGUUGCCGAUUCCUCCCUUCAUGUGAAAAAUUUUCUCAAUAUCCAUAUGGGUGAAGAUUGGGAGUUUGGGACUGUUCUUCUCUGGUUUUUCUUCUUCUUGGCUUGGAUGAGUUCAUGCCCCUUUUAAAUGUAGAAUUUGAAAGAAGUAUGUAACUAUUUUUGUACACCCCCGGAUUGGAACAAAUAAUUACCAUAGUUCGUUCUUUUUC